GACGGGAGAUGCAAGCGUUAUUCGGAUUUAUUGGGCGUAAAGGGUCUGUAGGUUGUCAAUUAAGUCUAUGGUCAAAUUCCGAAGCUCAACUUCGGGCCGGCACUAGAAACUAAUUGACUUGAGUACGUUAGAGGCAGGGGGAAUUCCCAGUGUAGCGGUGAAAUGCGUAGAUAUUGGGAGGAACAUCAAUGGCGAAGGCACCCUGCUAGGCCGAUACUGACACUGAAAGACGAAAGCUAGGGGAGCAAAUGGGAUUAGAUACCCCAGUAGUCCUAGCUGUAAACGAUGGGGACUAAACUUUGGUUUUAAACAGAGUUAAAGCUAACGCGUUAAGUCCCCCGCCUGGGGAGUACGCCCGCAAGAGUG
This 366-nucleotide ribosomal RNA is filed under the name uncultured phototrophic eukaryote. RNAcentral describes it as "SSU rRNA". It matches the Rfam family "Bacterial small subunit ribosomal RNA", at positions 524 to 896 of the family's 1533-position model. The record is from RNAcentral.